GAAAUGCGAUAAGUAAUGUGAAUUGCAGAAUUCAGUGAAUCAUCGAAUCUUUGAACGCAUCUUGCGCUCUUUGGUAUUCCUUGGAGCAUGCCUGUUUGAGUAUCAUGAAAUCUUCAAAGUAAAUCUUUUGUUAACUCAAUUGGUUUCUACUUUGGUAUUGGAGGUCUUUGCAGCUUCACACCUGCUCCUCUUUGUUCAUUAGCUGGAUCUCAGUGUUAUGCUUGGUUCCACUCGGCGUGAUAAGUUAUCUAUCGCUGAGGACACUGUAAAAGGUGGCCAAGGUAAAUGCAGAUGAACCGCUUCUAAUAGUCCAUUGACUUGGACAAUACUUUUAUGAUCUGAUCUCAAAUCAGGUAGGACUACCCGCUGAACUUAAGC
This 378-nucleotide unclassified non-coding RNA is filed under the name plant metagenome. Its description in RNAcentral is "partial contains 5.8S ribosomal RNA, internal transcribed spacer 2, and large subunit ribosomal RNA". The stretch from base 1 to 105 matches the Rfam family "5.8S ribosomal RNA", at positions 50 to 154 of the family's 154-position model. The record is from RNAcentral.